GAUGAAGAACGUAGCGAAAUGCGAUACGUAAUGUGAAUUGCAGAUUUCAGUGAAUCAUCGAAUCUUUGAACGCACAUUGCGCCCGCUAGUAUUCUGGCGGGCAUGCCUGUUCGAGCGUCAUUUCAACCAUCAAGCCCUAGGCUUGCGUUGGAGCCCUGCGGCUGCCGCAGGCUCCCAAAUCCAGUGGCGGGCUCGUCGUCGUACCGAGUGCAGUAAACAUCCUCGCUCAGGGAACGUGACGGGUUCUUGCCGUGAAACCCCCCACAUAUCAAGGUUGACCUCGGAUCAGGUAGGACUACCCGCUGAACUUAAGCAUAUCAAUAAGCGGAGGA
RNAcentral lists this unclassified non-coding RNA (332 nucleotides) under soil metagenome. RNAcentral's name for it is "partial contains 5.8S ribosomal RNA, internal transcribed spacer 2, and large subunit ribosomal RNA". The stretch from base 1 to 120 matches the Rfam family "5.8S ribosomal RNA", at positions 35 to 154 of the family's 154-position model. The record is from RNAcentral.